UACAGAGGGGGCAAGCGUUGUUCGGAAUUACUGGGCGUAAAGGGCGCGUAGGCGGCCUGCUAAGUCGAACGUGAAAUCCCUGGGCUCAACCCAGGAACUGCGUCCGAUACUGGUUGGCUUGAAUCCGGGAGAGGGACGUGGAAUUCCAGGUGUAGCGGUGAAAUGCGUAGAUAUCUGGAGGAACACCGGUGGCGAAGGCGGCCUGCUGGGCAGUGGCUGACGCUGAGGCGCGACAGCGUGGGGAGCAAACAGA
RNAcentral lists this ribosomal RNA (253 nucleotides) under uncultured bacterium. RNAcentral describes it as "partial 16S ribosomal RNA". It matches the Rfam family "Bacterial small subunit ribosomal RNA", at positions 524 to 776 of the family's 1533-position model. The record is from RNAcentral.